RNAcentral lists this ribosomal RNA (1095 nucleotides) under Allogromia sp. Its description in RNAcentral is "SSU rRNA". It matches the Rfam family "Eukaryotic small subunit ribosomal RNA", at positions 1160 to 1791 of the family's 1831-position model. Lineage: Eukaryota; Foraminifera. The record is from RNAcentral.
AAGGGCACCACAAGAACGCGUGGAGCAUGUGGCUUAAUUUGACUCAACGCGGGAAAUCUUACCAGGUCCGAACAUACUGAGGAUUGACAGGUUGCUAUAGGAUAUUUUAAUAUUUAUUUAUAAAUAUUAAUUUUUAAUCUUAUAUUAAAUAUGCUAGUCCUUUCAUGAUUGUGUGAUAGGUGGUGCAUGGCCGUUCUUAGUUCGUGGAGUGAUCUGUCUGCUUAAUUGCGUUUCACAAUAAAUGGACAUCGAAGAGAUGCUUUGCCGCACACAAAGUUUGCAGUAAUUUGGUUUCGGCUACUUUACUCCUUUGUUGUUGCGCGGUAUCUCUACAAACAUGUCCUGAAGGCAACGAACGUGACCGCAACAUCUUGUUGCUUUUUCUUUAUAUUUUAUUUAUUUAAAAUAUAAUACACAAAAGCUAACUAGGUGGACCGCUGACAAUUUUCUAAACAGAGGAAGGUUGCGGCAAUAACAGGUCUGUGAUGCCCUUAGAUGUUCUGGGCUGCACACGUGCUACAAUGAUUAUUGCAGUAAGCAUCUUUUAUAGAAAGCAAAGGGACUUUUUUUUAAAAAGACCCUUUGUUGAGGAUAGUGUCUCUUUCUUUAAAGUAUAGUCUACUGGGGUUGAGGUUGUAUUGUAACUUCGGUUAUGAAAUGAUUUUAAUUUUGGUGGAUUAUAUGUUGGAAAGGUUUGACUUAUCUGUUUAGCCUACUUCGAAAGUAAGUAGGUAAUCAAUUCGAAGUAAUGAUUUCCUAUUUUUUUAUUAAAAAAGCACAUCUUCUAUGUUUCAUGUCCGUAGACUUUUAUCUCUUCGGAGGUAUUUGUAUCUACCUUGAAACAUGUGCUCCAUUAUUUCAUGGUGGGGACAGACCAUUGUUAAUUGUUGGUCUCGGUCUCAACUAGGAAUGCCUUGUACGGGUCUUGGUUCAACAAACCACCCGGAAUAUGUCCCUGCCCUUUGUACACACCGCCCGUCGCUCUUACCGAUGGACUAUUCUGUGAGUUUACAGGACGGGACUUCUAUUCAUUUUUAAUGAUUGAAGUCUAUAUGAAUGUACACGAACAGUGUGGUCUAAAGGAAAGAGAAGUCG